Molecule: long non-coding RNA, 1658 nt
Organism: Numida meleagris (helmeted guineafowl)
Lineage: Eukaryota; Metazoa; Chordata; Aves; Galliformes; Numididae
Source: Ensembl
ACAUGCAUAUAUUUUCUGCACAAGGAAUUGUUAUUUUAGUUAAAGACAGAAGUGAAAAAUUUCACCAACGCUCUAGUUUUAACAUGCUUUUUUUCUUAGACAGUUGUGUAAGCAGUUCUCAAGAGCUCCUACCUUUUUCUUCAUCACCAUGAGCAGCAGCUUCUUGAUGGGAAGGAAAAAGAUUCUUCACAAGCCCUUAGCUCAUGCAGUUACUCAGCUCAAUGCAAAGUAAAGACCAGAGGACCUCCUCUACUUUUCCUCUGCCAGUGUUUUUACCAAGAUGACAUCUUCCUAUGUAGUUUCUGACUACUGCAUACACCAGAUCUCUGCCCUGGUCUCUGGAUUUCUGCUGCUGCGCCAACAAGUAUUUCUAUCUUCUUCAGUCCCUAGAAGUGCUCUCUCCAAAGUGUUACACAGUAUUGCAUACAUCCAAUCCAAAGAGCAGAACCCAUGGAAAGGAAAGGUUAAGACUGAAGACUGUUUAAAAUGCUUGCUGUCAGAGGUUACAAACUUUCCUGAACUUCAGAAACCUGAUUGGGAGAGAAGAAAAAGAAUUCAACUCUUAAACUUGACCUCUUCAAAGCUUCUCAAAGCUGUUCCACUACAUCAAGUGACAGAAACUGGAAAGGGAGGGAAAUGGAGGACAAAGAACUAUUGAAGAUGCAAAGAGUAAUUCAAAAUGUACUGAGAGGUUUGGACAUCUUUUAUUCUUGAAAAAAAAGUUAAACAAAACCACCAGUCUGACACAAAAUUAAAAUCCAUCCUGUAAUCUCUUGCCAGAGAAAGAUCUUAAACAUUAAAAACAAAAAACAACAACAAACAACAAAUGAUUGGAAGAUACUGGGAUUUGCAUUCUGCUUUGCUGCUCACUUCCAGAAUAGAAAUCCCAUUAAAAGUAUUAAACGGGCCAAGUAUACCAGCAACUUCACAUACCAACAUAUAUGACAAACAAAAUGUUUCCUUCUGUUUCUCCACAGUCUUUCUGUGUUACUUGAUGCAAGGGAGCAGAACUCCUGCUGCAAAGGCACAGUGACAUGAGGGGCAUUUGCUGUCAUUACUGGAGCCCUGACCAAAGCCACGCAGUUGUGCAGGCUGCCUGUUGGUCAUGUGGGAUCGCCGCUGAGCAUUUAGGGGCUGGCUUAGGUACUUUGUGCACAUUUUCUCUUCUAGCAUUUCCUCAUCAAGCCACAGUGAGACUUCAUGUAAUACUGUUCACAAAUCUAAAGCCUGCUCUGUACUUCUGGAAGCGAGGAGCAGCAAGGUCCAACUGCUAUAGCUGAAUGACAGAUGCUGCUUUCAGACCUUUUCCUGCAGCACAGUUACCUGCACAGCCACCAGCAAGGGCAGUCCAGGCAGUCCAGGUGGCCCUGAGCCACGAUAUGCAGGGAGAAGCAAAGGGUGGCAUGGGGCUGUGGCUGCACCACGAGCUGUGCACCCCUCCACUCAUUGCCUCCUGCGGGAUGCAGGACAUGGUGUAACAAAAUGGGCUCUUUCUGCUUGUUGGAAGCUCGCACAAUUGUUCUUCCGCUGAUGACAUCACAGGUCCCCCUUCAAAGAGUGAAUAUUGCAAAGUAAGUGAUUUCUCACUGGUUAUGUGUAUGUCAAUUUUCACAUUGUUUUACUUCUCCUGAAAGCCAACAACCAUUAGAAGCAGCUUG